This 441-nucleotide ribosomal RNA is filed under the name uncultured bacterium. RNAcentral describes it as "partial 16S ribosomal RNA". It matches the Rfam family "Bacterial small subunit ribosomal RNA", at positions 338 to 795 of the family's 1533-position model. The record is from RNAcentral.
CCUACGGGAGGCAGCAGUGGGGAAUAUUGCACAAUGGGGGAAACCCUGAUGCAGCGACGCCGCGUGAGUGAAGAAGUUUUUCGGCACGUAAAGCUCUAUCAGCAGGGAAGAACCAACACGGUACCUGACUAAGAAGCCCCGGCUAACGACGUGCCAGCAGCCGCGGUAAUACGUAGGGGGCAAGCGUUCUUCGGAAUUACUGUGUGUAAAGGGAGCGUAGACGGUAUGGCAAGUCUGAUGUGAAAGCCCAGGGCUUAACCCUGGGACUGCUUUGGAAACUGUUAGACUAGAGUGCUGGAGAGGUAAGUGGAAUUCCUAGUGUAGGGGUGAAAUGCGUAGAUAUUAGGAGGAACACCAGUGGCGAAGGCGGCUUACUGGACAGUAACUGACGUUGAGGCUCGAAAGCGUGGGGAGCAAACAGGAUUAGAUACCCGUGUAGUC